Molecule: ribosomal RNA, 492 nt
Filed under: uncultured bacterium
Lineage: Bacteria
Description: partial 16S ribosomal RNA
Rfam family: Bacterial small subunit ribosomal RNA
Source: RNAcentral
AGUGAACGCUGGCGGUAGGCCUAACACAUGCAAGUCGAACGGCAGCACAGUAAGAGCUUGCUCUUACGGGUGGCGAGUGGCGGACGGGUGAGGAAUACAUCGGAAUCUACUUUUUCGUGGGGGAUAACGUCGGGAAACUAACGCUAAUACCGCAUACGACCUACGGGUGAAAGCAGGGGAUCUUCGGACCUUGCGCGAUUGAAUGAGCCGAUGUCGGAUUAGCUAGUUGGCGGGGUAAAGGCCCACCAAGGCGACGAUGCGUAGCUGGUCUGAGAGGAUGAUCAGCCACACUGGGACUGAGACACGGUCCAGACUCCUACGGGAGGCAGCAGUGGGGAAUAUUGGACGAUGGGCGCAAUCCUGAUCCAGCCAUACCGCGUGGGUGCAGAAGGCCUUCGUGUUGUAAAGCCCUUUUGUUGUGAAAGAAAAGCAGCAGGUUAAUACCCCGCUGUUCUGACGGUACCCAAAGAAUAAGCACCGGCUAACUUCGUG